Molecule: ribosomal RNA, 435 nt
Filed under: uncultured Mogibacterium sp.
Lineage: Bacteria; Bacillati; Bacillota; Clostridia; Peptostreptococcales; Anaerovoracaceae
Description: partial 16S ribosomal RNA
Rfam family: Bacterial small subunit ribosomal RNA
Source: RNAcentral
ACGGAAGGCAGCAGUAAGGAAUCUUGCACAAUGGGGAAACCCUGAUGCAGCAACGCCGCGUGAUUGAUGAAGGCCUUCUGGUUGUAAAACUCUGAUCUAAGGGAAGAAACAAAUGACGGUACCUUAGGAGAAAGCCCCGGCUAACUACGUGCCAGCAGCCGCGGUAAUACGUAGGGGGCAAGCGUUAUCCGGAAUUAUUGGGCGUAAAGAGUGCGUAGGUGGUUACCUAAGCGCAAGGUUUAAUCUUGAGGCUUAACCUCAUUCUGCCUUGCGAACUGGGCUACUGGAGUGCAGGAGGGGAAAGCGGAAUUCCUAGUGUAACGGUGAAAUGCGUAGAUAUUAGGAAGAACACCGGUGGCGAAGGCGGCUUUCUGGACUGUAACUGACACUGAGGCACGAAAGCGUGGGGAGCAAACAGGAUUAGAUACCCUGGUA